Molecule: ribosomal RNA, 440 nt
Filed under: uncultured bacterium
Lineage: Bacteria
Description: partial 16S ribosomal RNA
Rfam family: Bacterial small subunit ribosomal RNA
Source: RNAcentral
CCUACGGGAGGCAGCAGUGGGGAAUAUUGCACAAUGGGGGAAACCCUGAUGCAGCGACGCCGCGUGAGUGAAGAAGUACUUCGGUACGUAAAGCUCUAUCAGCAGGGAAGAAAAUGACGGUAGCUGAGUAAGAAGCAACGGCUAACUACGUGCCAGCAGCCGCGGGAAUACGUAGGGGGCAAGCGCGAUCCGGAUUUACUGGGUGUAAAGGGAGCGUAGACGGUGGGCCAAGUCUGGAGGGAAAUGCCGGCGCUUAACGUCGGAACUGCUUUGGAAACUGGCGAACUAGAGUGCGGGAGGGGUAAGCGGAAUUCCUGGUGUAGCAGUGAAAUGCGUAGAUAUUAGGAGGAACACCGGUGGCGAAGGUGACUAUCUGGAACGUAACUGACGUUGAGGCGCGAAAGCGUGGGGAGCAAACAGGAUUAGAUACCCGAGUAGUC